GUGCUCGCUUCGGCAGCACAUAUACUAAAAUUGGAAUGAUACAGAGAAGAUUAGCAUGGCCCCUGCACAAGGAUGACAUGCAAAUUCGUGAAACAUUCCAUAUUUUU
Molecule: small nuclear RNA, 107 nt
Filed under: Octodon degus (degu)
Lineage: Eukaryota; Metazoa; Chordata; Mammalia; Rodentia; Octodontidae
Source: RNAcentral